GACGAACCGUGCGAACGUUGUUCGGAUUCACUGGGCUUAAAGGGCGCGUAGGCGGGUCGGUAAGUCCGGGGUGAAAGCCCCCAGCUCAACUGGGGAAGUGCCUCGGAUACUGCCGGCCUCGAGGGGGGUAGGGGCGGGCGGAACUUCCGGUGGAGCGGUGAAAUGCGUAGAUAUCGGAAGGAACGCCGGUGGCGAAAGCGGCCCGCUGGACCCUCUCUGACGCUGAGGCGCGAAAGCCAGGGGAGCAAACGGG
This 253-nucleotide ribosomal RNA is filed under the name uncultured bacterium. RNAcentral's name for it is "partial 16S ribosomal RNA". It matches the Rfam family "Bacterial small subunit ribosomal RNA", at positions 524 to 776 of the family's 1533-position model. The record is from RNAcentral.